UGAGGAAUAUUGGUCAAUGGGCGAAAGCCUGAACCAGCCAUGUCGCGUGAAGGAAGACGGUUCUAUGGAUUGUAAACUUCUUUUAUACGGGAAGAAUGUUUCUACGUGUAGAGAUUCGACGGUACCGUAUGAAUAAGCAUCGGCUAACUCGCCAGCAGCCGCGGUAAUACGGAGGAUGCAAGCGUUAUCCGGAUUCAUUGGGUUUAAAGGGUGCGUAGGCGGAAAUGUAAGUCUGGGGUGAAAGUUUGUGGCUCAACCAUAAAAUUGCCUUGGAUACUGUAUUUCUUGAGUACAUUUGAGGUAGGCGGAAUGUGUUGUGUAGCGGUGAAAUGCUUAGAUAUAACACAGAACACCGAUUGCGAAGGCAGCUUACUAAACUGUAACUGACGCUGAUGCACGAAAGCGUGGGGAUCGAACAGGAUUAGAUACCCUGGUAGUCCACGCCGUAAACGAUGAUAACUAGUUGUUUGCAAUAGACCGUAAGCGACAAAGCGAAAGCAUAAGUUAUCCACCUGGGAGUACG
Molecule: ribosomal RNA, 523 nt
Filed under: uncultured Bacteroides sp.
Lineage: Bacteria; Pseudomonadati; Bacteroidota; Bacteroidia; Bacteroidales; Bacteroidaceae
Description: bacterial SSU rRNA
Rfam family: Bacterial small subunit ribosomal RNA
Source: RNAcentral